RNAcentral lists this long non-coding RNA (816 nucleotides) under Physcomitrium patens. Its description in RNAcentral is "long non-coding RNA (PPAT_LNC011157)". The record is from RNAcentral. Lineage: Eukaryota; Viridiplantae; Streptophyta; Bryopsida; Funariales; Funariaceae.
GGUUUGCGAGGAGAGACAGCGGCAGAGCAUAGUCGUGCUGUACCUGGUGGCUUGUUUCAUUGCAUGCCGAGGUUUGCGUCUCGCGAACCAGCAAUCUAUGCCGUUUCCAACAACAGGUGCAUGUGGCAUUAAGUUUCAUCCCUCGGGUCCCAACACUUCAGUGCACCUUCGCGAGGAUGCAACUUGCGGCCAUGCACGAGAGGUGGUGGGUCAGAUUUGAACUGAUUCUAUGGUGUGACAAGGUAUACCUUCUUGUUUUGCAUGGAAUAUAUUGUUGAUGUAAUGCUUACAAUCCUGUGAGCGAUACAGUGAUUGUUUUAGUUUGAACUAUUCAUUUAUUUAGUGAUGUGUGACAAACUAGGACGCAUCAUGUUUUGGACGUAGGUGUUAUUUGAUGUGCGGGAGGGCAAGGAUUGAAACCCUAUGAAAAUAACGCUUUGCAGAGUUGAAGUUGUAAUCCAAGUACGCUAUUACGAAAUGACGUGUACAGAAGUGAAGACAGAAGAUGAGGGAUCAUGAAUGAGACUUGAUAUGCUGGCAGAACUACAUUUGAAUAGAAUGUACCAUAGAUUUUUAUGAUUUAUUUUCACAUCUUCAUGAUCUGGUGUUUUUGCCAUUGUCUAGUAAGUGGUGUGUAGCUUUGUUUAAGGAAAGGUUGUUAAAUAAAUUUCAACCUGGUUUAGUUUCAUGUCAAUAUUAUGGCUUUUUGUAUAGAGUAUUUUGUAGCUAAAUUAAAUGUUGAAGAAGUUUAUUUUAAAAAAUUAUAUUGUGAUUCAUCUUCAUAGGUUCAUUUUUUUAUUAAAUAAUUAUGAAAUU